RNAcentral lists this ribosomal RNA (440 nucleotides) under Babesia vulpes. RNAcentral's name for it is "SSU rRNA". It matches the Rfam family "Eukaryotic small subunit ribosomal RNA", at positions 581 to 1040 of the family's 1831-position model. The record is from RNAcentral. Lineage: Eukaryota; Apicomplexa; Aconoidasida; Piroplasmida; Babesiidae.
AAUUCCAGCUCCAAUAGCGUAUAUUAAAGUUGUUGCAGUUAAGAAGCUCGUAGUUGAAUUUCUGCCUUAUCAUUAAUUUCGCUUCCGAACGUAAUUUUAUUGAUUUGGCAUCUUCUGGAUUAUAUAUUAUUUUUAAUAUAUUUUUCCAGUAUUUUACUUUGAGAAAACUAGAGUGUUUCAAACAGGCUUUUGCCUUGAAUACUACAGCAUGGAAUAAUGAAGUAGGACUAUUGGUUCUAUUUUGUUGGUUAUCGAACCAUAGUAAUGGUUAAUAGGAGCAGUUGGGGGCAUUCGUAUUUAACUGUCAGAGGUGAAAUUCUUAGAUUUGUUAAAGACGAACUACUGCGAAAGCAUUUGCCAAGGAUGUUUUCAUUAAUCAAGAACGAAAGUUAGGGGAUCGAAGACGAUCAGAUACCGUCGUAGUCCUAACCAUAAACUAA